Molecule: ribosomal RNA, 1346 nt
Filed under: uncultured bacterium
Lineage: Bacteria
Description: partial 16S ribosomal RNA
Rfam family: Bacterial small subunit ribosomal RNA
Source: RNAcentral
GACGAACGCUGGCGGCGUGCUUAACACAUGCAAGUCGAACGGAAAGGCCCUGCUUUUGUGGGGUGCUCGAGUGGCGAACGGGUGAGUAACACGUGAGUAACCUGCCCUUGACUUUGGGAUAACUUCAGGAAACUGGGGCUAAUACCGGAUAGGAGCUCCUGCUGCAUGGUGGGGGUUGGAAAGUUUCGGCGGUUGGGGAUGGACUCGCGGCUUAUCAGCUUGUUGGUGGGGUAAUGGCUUACCAAGGCUUUGACGGGUAGCCGGCCUGAGAGGGUGACCGGCCACAUUGGGACUGAGAUACGGCCCAGACUCCUACGGGAGGCAGCAGUGGGGAAUAUUGCACAAUGGGCGGAAGCCUGAUGCAGCAACGCCGCGUGCGGGAUGACGGCCUUCGGGUUGUAAACCGCUUUCGCCUGUGACGAAGCGUGAGUGACGGUAAUGGGUAAAGAAGCACCGGCUAACUACGUGCCAGCAGCCGCGGUGAUACGUAGGGUGCGAGCGUUGUCCGGAUUUAUUGGGCGUAAAGGGCUCGUAGGUGGUUGAUCGCGUCGGAAGUGUAAUCUUGGGGCUUAACCCUGAGCGUGCUUUCGAUACGGGUUGACUUGAGGAAGGUAGGAGAGAAUGGAAUUCCUGGUGGAGCGGUGGAAUGCGCAGAUAUCAGGAGGAACACCAGUGGCGAAGGCGGUUCUCUGGGCCUUUCCUGACGCUGAGGAGCGAAAGCGUGGGGAGCGAACAGGCUUAGAUACCCUGGUAGUCCACGCUGUAAACGGUGGGUACUAGGUGUGGGGUCCAUUCCACGGGUUCCGUGCCGUAGCUAACGCUUUAAGUACCCCGCCUGGGGAGUACGGCCGCAAGGCUAAAACUCAAAGGAAUUGACGGGGCCCCGCACAAGCGGCGGAGCAUGCGGAUUAAUUCGAUGCAACGCGUAGAACCUUACCUGGGUUUGACAUGGAUCGGGAGUGCUCAGAGAUGGGUGUGCCUCUUUUGGGGUCGGUUCACAGGUGGUGCAUGCCUGUCGUCAGCUCGUGUCGUGAGAUGUUGGGUUAAGUCCCGCAACGAGCGCAACCCUUGUUCACUGUUGCCAGCACGUUAUGGUGGGGACUCAGUGGAGACCGCCGGGGUCAACUCGGAGGAAGGUGGGGAUGACGUCAAGUCAUCAUGCCCCUUAUGUCCAGGGCUUCACGCAUGCUACAAUGGCUGGUACAGAGAGUGGCGAGCCUGUGAGGGUGAGCGAAUCUCGGAAAGCCGGUCUCAGUUCGGAUUGGGGUCUGCAACUCGACCUCAUGAAGUCGGAGUCGCUAGUAAUCGCAGAUCAGCAACGCUGCGGUGAAUACGUUCCCGGGGCU